Molecule: ribosomal RNA, 468 nt
Filed under: uncultured bacterium
Lineage: Bacteria
Description: partial 16S ribosomal RNA
Rfam family: Bacterial small subunit ribosomal RNA
Source: RNAcentral
GACGAACGCUGGCGGCGUGCUUAACACAUGCAAGUCGAACGGAAAGGCCCUGCUUUUGUGGGGUGCUCGAGUGGCGAACGGGUGAGUAACACGUGAGUAACCUGCCCUUGACUUUAGGAUAACUUCAGGAAACUGGGGCUAAUACCGGAUAGGAGCUCCUGCUGCAUGGUGGGGGUUGGAAAGUUUCGGCGGUUGGGGAUGGACUCGCGGCUUAUCAGCUUGUUGGUGGGGUAGUGGCUUACCAAGGCUUUGACGGGUAGCCGGCCUGAGAGGGUGACCGGCCACAUUGGGACUGAGAUACGGCCCAGACUCCUACGGGAGGCAGCAGUGGGGAAUAUUGCACAAUGGGCGGAAGCCUGAUGUAGCAACGCCGCGUGCGGGAUGACGGCCUUCGGGUUGUAAACCGCUUUCGCCUGUGACGAAGCGUGAGUGACGGUAAUGGGUAAAGAAGCACCGGCUAACUACGUG